RNAcentral lists this ribosomal RNA (403 nucleotides) under uncultured bacterium. Its description in RNAcentral is "partial 16S ribosomal RNA". It matches the Rfam family "Bacterial small subunit ribosomal RNA", at positions 28 to 526 of the family's 1533-position model. The record is from RNAcentral.
GACGAACGCUGGCGGCGUGCCUAAUACAUGCAAGUCGAACGCAGUGGGGACGGGUGAGUAACACGUGGGUAACCUCCCAUCAGAGGGGAUAACACGUGGAAACAGGUGCUAAACCGAUACUGAUGGAUGGACCCGCGGUGCAUUAGCUAGUGGGUGAGGUAACGGCUCACCAAGGCUACGAUGCAUAGCCGGCCUGAGAGGGUGAUCAGCCACACUGGGACUGAGACACGGCCCAGACUCCUACGGGAGGCAGCAGUAGGGAAUCUUGGGCAAUGGGCGAAAGUCUGACCGAGCAACGCCGCGUGAAUGAAGAAGGUCUUCGGGUUGUAAAGCUCUGUUAGUAGGGAGGCGUUAUCUACACAAGAAGCAACGGCUAACUACGUGCCAGCAGCCGCGGUAAUUC